UACGGAAGGCAGCAGUGGGGAAUAUUGCACAAUGGGCGCAAGCCUGAUGCAGCCAUGCCGCGUGUAUGAAAAAGGCCUUCGGGUUGUAAAGUACUUUCAGUCGUGAGGAAGGUGUUAAGGUUAAUAACCUUAGCAAUUGACGUUAGCGACAGAAGAAGCACCGGCUAACUCCGUGCCAGCAGCCGCGGUAAUACGGAGGGUGCAAGCGUUAAUCGGAAUUACUGGGCGUAAAGGGCACGCAGGCGGUUAAUUAAGUUGGAUGUGAAAUCCCCGGGCUUAACCUGGGAAUGGCAUUCAAGACUGGUUAGCUAGAGUCUUGUAGAGGGGGUAGAAUUCCAUGUGUAGCGGUGAAAUGCGUAGAGAUGUGGAGGAAUACCGGUGGCGAAGGCGGCCCCUGGACAAAGACUGACGCUCAUGUGCGAAAGCGUGGGGAGCAAACAGGGAUUAGAUACC
RNAcentral lists this ribosomal RNA (453 nucleotides) under uncultured bacterium. RNAcentral describes it as "bacterial SSU rRNA". It matches the Rfam family "Bacterial small subunit ribosomal RNA", at positions 340 to 786 of the family's 1533-position model. The record is from RNAcentral.